RNAcentral lists this RNase P RNA (352 nucleotides) under pig gut metagenome. Its description in RNAcentral is "Bacterial RNase P class A". It matches the Rfam family "Bacterial RNase P class A". From Rfam's summary of the family: Ribonuclease P (RNase P) is a ubiquitous endoribonuclease, found in archaea, bacteria and eukarya as well as chloroplasts and mitochondria. Its best characterised activity is the generation of mature 5'-ends of tRNAs by cleaving the 5'-leader elements of precursor-tRNAs. The record is from RNAcentral.
AGACAGGUAAUCGCAGCUGCAAGUGCCGAAAGGCCGCAGGUGAGGAAAGUCCGGGCUUCACAGGGCAGGAUGCCGGUUAACGGCCGGUGGAGGUGACUCCAAGGAAAGUGCAACAGAAAUAAACCGCCGCAGAUACGGGGUGACCCGGAUGUGCGGUAAGGGUGGAAAGGCGGUGUAAGAGACCACCGCUUCCCUGGUAACAGGGAGGGCUCUGUAAACCCCAUCCGAAGCAAGACCGAAUAGAAGCGAUGACGCGGCCCGCCAGCUUCAGGUUGGUUGCUUGAGACGAUUGGCGACAGUCGUUCUAGAUAGAUGAUUACCCACGACAUAACCCGGCUCAUCGUCUUGCUUC